This 250-nucleotide ribosomal RNA is filed under the name uncultured bacterium. RNAcentral describes it as "partial 16S ribosomal RNA". It matches the Rfam family "Bacterial small subunit ribosomal RNA", at positions 524 to 777 of the family's 1533-position model. The record is from RNAcentral.
UACGGAGGGUCCGAGCGUUAUCCGGAAUCAUUGGGUUUAAAGGGUCCGCAGGCGGUCAAUUAAGUCAGAGGUGAAAUCACAUACUCAACUAUGGAACUGCCUUUGAUACUGGUUGACUUGAGUCAUUGAGAUAGAUAGAAUGUGUAGUGUAGCGGUGAAAUGCAUAGAUAUUACACAGAAUACCGAUUGCGAAGGCAGUCUACUACGAUAUACUGACGCUGAGGGACGAAAGCGUGGGGAGCGAACAGGA